AUACGGAGGAUCCGAGCGUUAUCCGGAUUUAUUGGGUUUAAAGGGAGCGUAGGUGGAUUGUUAAGUCAGUUGUGAAAGUUUGCGGCUCAACCGUAAAAUUGCAGUUGAAACUGGCAGUCUUGAGUACAGUAGAGGUGGGCGGAAUUCGUGGUGUCGCGGUGAAAUGCUUAGAUAUCACGAAGAACUCCGAUUGCGAAGGCAGCUCACUAGACUGCAACUGACACUGAUGCUCGAAAGUGUGGGUAUCAAACAGGAUUAGAUACCCUGGUAGUCCACACAGUAAACGAUGAAUACUCGCUGUUUGCGAUAUACAGUAAGCGGCCAAGCGAAAGCAUUAAGUAUUCCACCUGGGGAGUACGCCGGCAACGGUGAAACUCAAAUGAAUUGGCGGGG
Molecule: ribosomal RNA, 393 nt
Filed under: uncultured bacterium
Lineage: Bacteria
Description: partial 16S ribosomal RNA
Rfam family: Bacterial small subunit ribosomal RNA
Source: RNAcentral